UUCCUAUGGACUUUGAUUACUGGGCUAAGAUUGCUAUUUUCCACAGAUAUUUUACAGUACCACCCUUCUGUUCCCUACUUCCCUUAUUUAUGAGACAGCCUUAACAGUUCUCUAUUUAUUACAGCUUUAAGCAUCUAACAUUGUCAUUGUCUCCUGGGUUGCUAUAGCAUAUUAUAUUUUUCAAAAUGUUUUAAUGUGCAUUAUCUAGUUUCAUAAGGAACUCUGGCUUCCCAGGUGGUACAGUGGUAAAGAAUCCACCUGCCAAUGCAGGAGACGCAAGAGACCUGGGUUUGAUCCCUGGGUCAGGAAGAUUCCCUGGAGAAGGAAAUGGCAACCCACUCCAGUAUUCUUGCCUGGAAAAUUCCAUGGACAGAGGAACCUGACGGGCUACAGUCCAUGGGGUUGCAAAGAGUUGGACUGAGCACAAACGCAUGAUCUAAUUUAAUAAUAAGGAUGCUGUUUAGGAGAUUAUGUGUUUCCAUGCCUGCUAAUCCAGGAAUUCAAGGCGGAAGGCAACACUGGCCAGCGCCCAGACCGUCCAGGAAGGAAUAAAGUGGUUGAGGAAAGUGGACAUGCUGGAAGGGCUCUAUGUAAGCCAAAAGACCCAACUAGAGAAUGCAUCCCACGAGAGGAUAUACCAGUCCCCAAACCAUUGAAAUGCACUGAUGAGAGGGACACCAGCAUCACUAAGAAGUUGUGCAGGCUGGGGAUGAUGGAAGGAGAAAUGCUUACAAACUGAGCUUGUUAGCAUCUGCAGAAGUGAUAUAGGCCAGGAGGUGGCGCUUACCUGCCAGAAGCCAGGAGGCCAUAAUUACCUCACUCUUCAAAAGGAAUGGAAUCCCAUACAGCAGAGCAUCCAAGCAGGGGCUGUACUUCAGAUGCAGCUGGUGUGGAACCAGGGGCCCUCUGGCUGUGUCAUGUACUGCACCACCCAGAGGUAAUUUUGGGAGAGGGCCUUCUCAACUGGAAGGCCAGCUCUGAGAAAGCACUCUGAAAGGAUGGAGUGCUGUCCUUCAGCACACAGUGUAUUAAAUCGCAGACCUCUGUGGUGCUGUGUCCUCAAUAGGAAGAAAUCAAGGGUCUGGAAACCAAGAGGUGGAAGCAGGGAUGGGCUUGGUUACCGUCAUUCUGAAGGACCCACUGUGGAGUUUUGUGCUGCUUUUCCCUGCAACUCGGCUCUAAAUAAUUGUAGUUUCUGGUCCCUAAAGAGAACACACUCUUGCCAGGGGCACCAUAAACGUUCCAGUGAUCUAUAUGGUAAAGCUACUGACGGGACACUGGGAAAUUUCUGUGUCCGGGGAGCAGCAGGCAAGAGAGGAGUUGCCGUGCCGGCAGGUCUGAUGGACCCUGGUCAUCAGGAGGAGGAAGGCUGCUUUCACACGAGGGGAGCGAGGAGGAAUGUGUGUGAGACUUGGGUUCAGGUGGGCACCUCCUGAACUCCUUGCCCUGAUUUAACUGUGUGAAUAGACAUGGGCAGCCACCCAGCCUGAGGAGGGUUUGAUUAUCAAGUGUUCAGACCCCUCAGGAGUAAAGGUUUGGGUCACGCCAUCGGGUAAGACACCAGGACCUGCCAAGACGAGAGCUGAGGGCGAAGGGGGUUGUAGAGUGGAUAGUGGAGGGCAGGAAGGGGAGAUGGUGAGAAAAAUGUGGCCUUGGGAUCAGCUCUGUGCUCUCAGAGGACAGUAAUUUACCCAAAUACUUCCUCUUCUCAGUUACCCCUCAAGGAAGGAAAGCCCACAGGUCCAUGGGGAACUGCUCCCUGCACCUGUGAGGAGAAGUAGCUCUAUAUGACACAAGGGUGGCUGGUGGACAGGAGACUUGGUUCCUAGCCCCUCCAGGGAAGUGCUUGCUGCCAAGAACCUCACUGUGCAACUCCAUGGUCUCCCAGUGCUCCAUCAUUAGAUGAACUCUCCUGUCCUGUUCAAACAUGCAGAGAAAAGACACAGAUGAAGUAGUGGAAGAAUUGCUACCUGCUCCUGGGAUCAGGAAGGCCUCAGAUCCUCACACGCUCUGCGACUCCUGAGUUUUUCACUGAAUGCUAUUUUCCAUGUGCUUAUCAAAUGUGAGCGCAUCAGGGUCUUUUCAAAUGAGUCAGCUCUUUGCAUCAGGUGGACAAACUAUUGGAGUUUCAACUUCAACAUCCGUCCUUCCAACGAACACCC
Molecule: long non-coding RNA, 2162 nt
Organism: Bos taurus (domestic cattle)
Lineage: Eukaryota; Metazoa; Chordata; Mammalia; Artiodactyla; Bovidae
Source: Ensembl